This 82-nucleotide microRNA precursor is filed under the name Echinococcus granulosus. Its description in RNAcentral is "microRNA egr-mir-10238 precursor". Lineage: Eukaryota; Metazoa; Platyhelminthes; Cestoda; Cyclophyllidea; Taeniidae. The record is from miRBase by way of RNAcentral.
ACGAUGACUGGGUUGCAGGAAAGCGUGAAUAAGUGCUACAUAGAGAACUUAGUCACGCAUACCCAAAGCCCAGUUCAUCACC